GAUGAACGCUGGCGGCGUGCCUAAUACAUGCAAGUCGAGCGAACGGACGAGAAGCUUGCUUCUCUGAUGUUAGCGGCGGACGGGUGAGUAACACGUGGAUAACCUACCUAUAAGACUGGGAUAACUUCGGGAAACCGUAGCUAAUACCGGAUAAUAUUUUGAACCGCAUGGUUCAAAAGUGAAAGACGUUCUUGCUGUCACUUAUAGAUGAAUCCGCGCUGCAUUAGCUAGUUGGUAAGGUAACGGCUUACCAAGGCAACGAUGCAUAGCCGACCUGAGAGGGUGAUCGGCCACACUGGAACUGAGACACGGUCCAGACUCCUACGGGAGGCAGCAGUAGGGAAUCUUCCGCAAUGGGCGAAAGCCUGACGGAGCAACGCCGCGUGAGUGAUGAAGGUCUUCGGAUCGUAAAACUCUGUUAUUAGGGAAGAACAUAUGUGUAAGUAACUGUGCACAUCUUGACGGUACCUAAUCAGAAAGCCACGGCUAACUACGUG
RNAcentral lists this ribosomal RNA (497 nucleotides) under uncultured bacterium. Its description in RNAcentral is "partial 16S ribosomal RNA". It matches the Rfam family "Bacterial small subunit ribosomal RNA", at positions 28 to 507 of the family's 1533-position model. The record is from RNAcentral.